This 74-nucleotide transfer RNA is filed under the name Lachnospiraceae bacterium. RNAcentral's name for it is "tRNA-Ile". It matches the Rfam family "tRNA". From Rfam's summary of the family: Transfer RNA (tRNA) molecules are approximately 80 nucleotides in length. Their secondary structure includes four short double-helical elements and three loops (D, anti-codon, and T loops). Lineage: Bacteria; Bacillati; Bacillota; Clostridia; Lachnospirales; Lachnospiraceae. The record is from RNAcentral.
GGGCCCUUAGCUCAGUUGGUUAGAGCAACCGGCUCAUAACCGGUCGGUCCUGGGUUCGAGCCCCCGAGGGCCCA